This 156-nucleotide ribosomal RNA is filed under the name uncultured bacterium. RNAcentral's name for it is "partial 16S ribosomal RNA". It matches the Rfam family "Bacterial small subunit ribosomal RNA", at positions 1342 to 1500 of the family's 1533-position model. The record is from RNAcentral.
UCGCGGAUCAGCAUGCCGCGGUGAAUACGUUCCCGGGCCUUGUACACACCGCCCGUCACACCAUGAGAGUUGGCAACACCCGAAGUCAGCAGGCAAACAGUGAAGCCGCUGCCGAAGGUGGGGUUGAUGAUUGGGGUGAAGUCGUAACAAGGUACC